UUAAAAGCUAAGAAAGAGAGAGUAACUAAAAAAAUAAAUUAAAAGAGAUUAACUGCAGUAGCUGAAAGUAGUUAAAUUUUAGAUUUUAGUGAAGUUCACUCUGGAGCUGAAGGCUGAAUUUAAGUAGGCUUUUCCGGAAGUUAAAAGCUUUCGUUAAAAAAAUAAGUGAUCCUAUUUUUUUGAUUAUAAUGAAUAGGGUAAUCAGGGUGGUAACACGGUAUCUCGUCCCUUUA
Molecule: non-coding RNA, 233 nt
Filed under: Halanaerobium praevalens
Lineage: Bacteria; Bacillati; Bacillota; Clostridia; Halanaerobiales; Halanaerobiaceae
Description: T-box sequence
Rfam family: T-box leader
About the family: Uncharged tRNA acts as the effector for transcription antitermination of genes in the T-box leader family. T-boxes are found upstream of many aminoacyl-tRNA synthetase genes and some amino acid biosynthetic genes usually in Gram-positive bacteria. The anticodon of a specific tRNA base pairs to a specifier sequence within the T-box motif, and the NCCA acceptor tail of the tRNA base pairs to a conserved bulge in the T-box antiterminator hairpin.
Source: RNAcentral